CUCUCUCUCUCCUGCUGCAUUGUGAAGAAACUGCUUGCUUCCCUCUCACCCUCUGCAGUUUCCUGAGGCCUCCCCAGCCAUGCGGAACGCUGUAGACCAAGACCUGGAAUUAACACAUCAGAAGAUUCUAUGAGGAAACCCAUUUAAAAAUAGGAUGCAUUUUUUUCUUUUCUGCACAGGGAGAAAGUUUAAGCUCUCCUCACUAUGAGUUUUCAAGUAUAAAAGACUUUUUCUUCCACGAUUUUGAGAACAACUGAGGACUCUUGUGACCAGGACAACAGGGAAGCUUGCAGCAAGAUAGCUCCAGGUUGGAUUCAUGCUUCGCACCCCAAGGGCUGCCAGCCAGAGAGGAGGAGAAGCAAUCACUCCUGCAGUUUCUGAACACUACACAGACGCCAGGUAGCUUCUUCAGGAGAACAGCCCUCUGAGGAGGCAGGAAGAGGAGGCUUAUCUUUCAGCAGCCGGAGCUGCUGAGAUCUCUGGGCAGAUUAAGCUCUCUCUAAUGGAUGGGCUCCAGCCUGGCACAUUCAGUGGAGAGGGAUCCACUCAUCCAUCAUCAACAUAAUAUGGUCCUCCCUGCACUUCACAGUGUCCUCUUGCUAUUGAAAAGGCUUUUUUGCCUUCUCAAGUUUCUUUGUCAACAGUCUACAGGAAGAAGCUCAGGCCGCCACCGGCAGAGGUGAAUGCAAGCUCACGUUUUAUUUCUGACUGCUUAAUCAUUGCCUCGAUCACUGCUCAAGCUCUGCCUUUGUUUCCAAAGGUUACCUGUGGGAAAACUUCUUUUUCUAUGCUGAAAUUAAUAGGGAGGCAAAGAUGAGUCCACUGAUAAGCAGAGCCUUAAAACUCACAUAGAGAAACAACUUUGCUGGAGUGUGUGUGAGUGAACCACUAAGGAAUCAGAUAGUGUGAUGGCAGUUAUCAUUGCAGGUUAAGACAUUUCUACAAAUAUUUCGACAUCUCCAUAUACUCACUCCUUUCCCCCCUGAGUGGAGAGACUCAGCUACCAAGAGAGGAAGCUCAAAAAAAACAGAAGCUUCAAACAAACAACCAACCAAAAAAAAAAAAAAACUGUGGGUUCAUCAGAGGUGGUAGGGAAGACAAAAACAUGGGAGGAGCAGCUGGGCACGGUGGCUCAAGCCUGUAAUCCCAGCACUUUGCGAGGCUGAGGUGGGUGGAUCACCUGAGGUCAGGAGUUCGAGACCAGCCUGGCCAACAUGGUGAAACCCCAUCUCUACUAAAAAUACAAAAAAUUAGCCGGGCGUUGUGGUACGCACCUGUAAUCCCAGCUACUCCGGAGGCUGAGGCAGCAGAAUCGCUUGAACCCAGGAGGCAGAGGUUGCAACGAGCCAAGAUCGCACCAUUGCACUCCAGCCUGGGCAACAAGAGCGAAACUCCAUCUAAAAAAAACAAACAAGCAAACAAACAAAAAACACGGGAGGAGCAAUAAAAAGGAAUCCAUGCUUUGAUUUUUUUUUUUAGUGAGAGGAAGGGAAGGCUGCUGCCUCUCACUUCUCCCUGUUUUGUUGUUCUUUUAAGUAGCAUGUGUCACUCUGUAUAUAUCCUGUCCAUGUGUUUUCUUUUAUUAUUAUUUGUCCACUUGCCUAGAAUGAAAACUCCAUGGGA
Molecule: long non-coding RNA, 1623 nt
Filed under: Homo sapiens (human)
Lineage: Eukaryota; Metazoa; Chordata; Mammalia; Primates; Hominidae
Description: HSALNT0361486
Source: RNAcentral